This 504-nucleotide ribosomal RNA is filed under the name uncultured Solitalea sp. RNAcentral's name for it is "bacterial SSU rRNA". It matches the Rfam family "Bacterial small subunit ribosomal RNA", at positions 373 to 876 of the family's 1533-position model. The record is from RNAcentral. Lineage: Bacteria; Pseudomonadati; Bacteroidota; Sphingobacteriia; Sphingobacteriales; Sphingobacteriaceae.
GGGCGCAAGCCUGAACCAGCCAUGCCGCGUGCAGGAAGACGGCCCUAUGGGUUGUAAACUGCUUUUNUCGGGGAAUAAACCUCAUUACGUGUAAUGAGUUGAAGGUACCCGAAGAAUAAGGAUCGGCUAACUCCGUGCCAGCAGCCGCGGUAAUACGGAGGAUCCAAGCGUUAUCCGGAUUUAUUGGGUUUAAAGGGUGCGUAGGCGGUUUAUUAAGUCAGUGGUGAAAGCCCGGAGCUCAACUUCGGAACUGCCAUUGAUACUGAUAGACUUGAGUACAGAUGAAGUGGGCGGAAUGUGACAAGUAGCGGUGAAAUGCUUAGAUAUGUCACAGAACACCGAUUGCGAAGGCAGCUCCACUAAAGUGUAACUGACGCUGAGGCACGAAAGCGUGGGGAUCAAACAGGAUUAGAUACCCUGGUAGUCCACGCCCUAAACGAUGAUUACUCGCUGUUAGCGAUAUACAGUUAGCGGCUAAGCGAAAGCGUUAAGUAAUCCACCUGG